UUUUGAAGAGAGGAGAAAGACUUUUUGAAUUCUGUGUCUGUUUGUGUCUUCUAGGAAGCAGAUGCCAAGGGCAUUGGAGGGAAGAAUGCUUGUGAAAGAUGAAGGGGGAAAGAAGCGCGCUUCUGUGGAAAACAUUUUCAAGUUCAUUAGAUCAAACUCGAUGAGAAUGGCUGACACCUGAGAAUCAAACCAACACACUCCUCAGCAUUGAGUCCGAAAGUCACAAAAGGAAAGAGAUCCUUCAAGGCAAGGGAGAUGGAGCUAUUGGAAUAUUCAUCUUCCUUGAUCAAAAUACCCUUCAUUGGGAAAAUACUCACUUCUCCUGCAAAAAUAUCACAACUGUCUGGUAAGUCGUUUAUGACACAGCCUUAAACACUUUGAAGGUAAGUAAUGCAAUUUGAUGUAUAUUUCCAUUUGUCAUUUAUAAACUAUUUUAUAUUGCCC
RNAcentral lists this long non-coding RNA (444 nucleotides) under Papio anubis (olive baboon). Its description in RNAcentral is "lncRNA (ENSPANG00000048281.1)". Lineage: Eukaryota; Metazoa; Chordata; Mammalia; Primates; Cercopithecidae. The record is from RNAcentral.